This 481-nucleotide ribosomal RNA is filed under the name uncultured bacterium. RNAcentral's name for it is "partial 16S ribosomal RNA". It matches the Rfam family "Bacterial small subunit ribosomal RNA", at positions 28 to 507 of the family's 1533-position model. The record is from RNAcentral.
GAUGAACGCUGGCGGCGUGCUUAACACAUGCAAGUCGAACGAAGCAUUUGCGACAGAUUUUUUCGGAAUGAAGUUGCUUAUGACUGAGUGGCGGACGGGUGAGUAACGCGUGGGUAACCUGCCUUGUACUGGGGGAUAGCAGCUGGAAACGGCUGGUAAUACCGCAUAAGCGCACAAUGUUGCAUGACAUGGUGUGAAAAACUCCGGUGGUAUAAGAUGGACCCGCGUCUGAUUAGCUAGUUGGUGAGAUAACGGCCCACCAAGGCGACGAUCAGUAGCCGACCUGAGAGGGUGACCGGCCACAUUGGGACUGAGACACGGCCCAGACUCCUACGGGAGGCAGCAGUGGGGAAUAUUGCACAAUGGAGGAAACUCUGAUGCAGCGACGCCGCGUGAGUGAAGAAGUAAUUCGUUAUGUAAAGCUCUAUCAGCAGGGAAGAUAGUGACGGUACCUGACUAAGAAGCUCCGGCUAAAUACGUG